CCCCCCCCGGAGGGAUUGCACAUGGGGGAAACCUGCAUGCAGCUUAUACGCGUGUGUGAUGAAGGUCUUAGGAUUGUAAACACACUUUCAGCAAGGCGAAAAAAUUAAUAUAAAUAAUCACUUAUAUUAACUGAUAUUACCUGCAAAAGAAGUCACCGGCUAACUCCGUGCCAGCAGCCGCGGUAAUACGGAGGGUACAACGCGUUCAAUCGGAAUUAUUGGGCGUAAAGAGUACGUAGGUGGUAUAUUAAGUCAGAUGUGAAAUACUUAAGCUUAACUUAAGAACUGCAUUUGAAACUAAUAAACUAGAGUUUUCAUAGAGGGGAGUAGAAUUCCAAGUGUAGCGGUGAAAUGCGUAGAUAUUUGGAGGAAUACCAGAGGCGAAGGCGACUCCCUGGGUAAUAACUGACACUGAGGUACGACAAGCUUGGGGAGCAAACAGGAUUAGAUACCCUGGAUAGUCCAUGCUGUAAACGAUGUCAAUUUGAAGAUUGUAACUCAUUAUUCA
RNAcentral lists this ribosomal RNA (508 nucleotides) under endosymbiont of Sphenophorus levis. RNAcentral describes it as "bacterial SSU rRNA". It matches the Rfam family "Bacterial small subunit ribosomal RNA", at positions 349 to 841 of the family's 1533-position model. Lineage: Bacteria; Pseudomonadati; Pseudomonadota; Gammaproteobacteria. The record is from RNAcentral.